Molecule: ribosomal RNA, 162 nt
Filed under: Buxus gonoclada
Lineage: Eukaryota; Viridiplantae; Streptophyta; Magnoliopsida; Buxales; Buxaceae
Description: 5.8S ribosomal RNA
Rfam family: 5.8S ribosomal RNA
About the family: 5.8S ribosomal RNA (5.8S rRNA) is a component of the large subunit of the eukaryotic ribosome. It is transcribed by RNA polymerase I as part of the 45S precursor that also contains 18S and 28S rRNA.
Source: RNAcentral
GACAACUCUCGGCAACGGAUAUCUCGGCUCUCGCAUCGAUGAAGAACGUAGCAAAAUGCGAUAAUUGGUGUGAAUUGCAGAAUCCCGUGAACCAUUGAGUCUUUGAACGCAAGUUGCGCCCCAGGCCAUACGAUCGAGGGCACGUCUGUCUGUGCGUCACAC